RNAcentral lists this ribosomal RNA (499 nucleotides) under uncultured bacterium. RNAcentral describes it as "partial 16S ribosomal RNA". It matches the Rfam family "Bacterial small subunit ribosomal RNA", at positions 28 to 507 of the family's 1533-position model. The record is from RNAcentral.
GACGAACGCUGGCGGCGUGCCUAAUACAUGCAAGUCGAGCGAAGUUUUUCUGGUGCUUGCACUAGAAAAACUUUGCGGCGAACGGGUGAGUAACACGUAAAGAACCUGCCUCAUAGACUGGGACAACUAUUGGAAACGAUAGCUAAUACCGGAUAACAGUAUUUCUCGCAUGAGAGAUAUUUAAAAGUUGGUUAUGCUAACACUAUGAGAUGGCUUUGCGGUGCAUUAGCUAGUUGGUGGGGUAAAGGCCCACCAAGGCGACGAUGCAUAGCCGACCUGAGAGGGUGAUCGGCCACACUGGGACUGAGACACGGCCCAGACUCCUACGGGAGGCAGCAGUAGGGAAUCUUCCGCAAUGGGCGAAAGCCUGACGGAGCAACGCCGCGUGAGUGAAGAAGGAUUUCGGUUCGUAAAGCUCUGUUGUUAGGGAAGAAUGGAUAUGUAGUAACUAUACAUGUAAGAGACGGUACCUAACCAGAAAGCCACGGCUAACUACGUG